RNAcentral lists this ribosomal RNA (2908 nucleotides) under Salmonella enterica subsp. enterica. RNAcentral's name for it is "23S ribosomal RNA". It matches the Rfam family "Bacterial large subunit ribosomal RNA". Lineage: Bacteria; Pseudomonadati; Pseudomonadota; Gammaproteobacteria; Enterobacterales; Enterobacteriaceae. RNAcentral also lists the same sequence under 1 other name. The record is from RNAcentral.
GGUUAAGCGACUAAGCGUACACGGUGGAUGCCCUGGCAGUCAGAGGCGAUGAAGGACGUGCUAAUCUGCGAUAAGCGCCGGUAAGGUGAUAUGAACCGUUAUAACCGGCGAUUUCCGAAUGGGGAAACCCAGUGUGAUUCGUCACACUAUCAUUAACUGAAUCCAUAGGUUAAUGAGGCGAACCGGGGGAACUGAAACAUCUAAGUACCCCGAGGAAAAGAAAUCAACCGAGAUUCCCCCAGUAGCGGCGAGCGAACGGGGAGGAGCCCAGAGCCUGAAUCAGCAUGUGUGUUAGUGGAAGCGUCUGGAAAGGCGCGCGAUACAGGGUGACAGCCCCGUACACAAAAGCGCAUGUGCUGUGAGCUCGAUGAGUAGGGCGGGACACGUGGUAUCCUGUCUGAAUAUGGGGGGACCAUCCUCCAAGGCUAAAUACUCCUGACUGACCGAUAGUGAACCAGUACCGUGAGGGAAAGGCGAAAAGAACCCCGGCGAGGGGAGUGAAAAAGAACCUGAAACCGUGUACGUACAAGCAGUGGGAGCACAGGUUUACCUGUGUGACUGCGUACCUUUUGUAUAAUGGGUCAGCGACUUAUAUUCUGUAGCAAGGUUAACCGUAUAGGGGAGCCGUAGGGAAACCGAGUCUUAACCGGGCGUUAAGUUGCAGGGUAUAGACCCGAAACCCGGUGAUCUAGCCAUGGGCAGGUUGAAGGUUGGGUAACACUAACUGGAGGACCGAACCGACUAAUGUUGAAAAAUUAGCGGAUGACCUGUGGCUGGGGGUGAAAGGCCAAUCAAACCGGGAGAUAGCUGGUUCUCCCCGAAAGCUAUUUAGGUAGCGCCUCGUGAAUUCAUCUCCGGGGGUAGAGCACUGUUUCGGCUAGGGGGCCAUCCCGGCUUACCAACCCGAUGCAAACUGCGAAUACCGGAGAAUGUUAUCACGGGAGACACACGGCGGGUGCUAACGUCCGUCGUGAAGAGGGAAACAACCCAGACCGCCAGCUAAGGUCCCAAAGUCAUGGUUAAGUGGGAAACGAUGUGGGAAGGCCCAGACAGCCAGGAUGUUGGCUUAGAAGCAGCCAUCAUUUAAAGAAAGCGUAAUAGCUCACUGGUCGAGUCGGCCUGCGCGGAAGAUGUAACGGGGCUAAACCAUGCACCGAAGCUGCGGCAGCGACGCUGAUGCGUUGUUGGGUAGGGGAGCGUUCUGUAAGCCUGCGAAGGUGACCUGUGAGGGUUGCUGGAGGUAUCAGAAGUGCGAAUGCUGACAUAAGUAACGAUAAAGCGGGUGAAAAGCCCGCUCGCCGGAAGACCAAGGGUUCCUGUCCAACGUUAAUCGGGGCAGGGUGAGUCGACCCCUAAGGCGAGGCCGAAAGGCGUAGUCGAUGGGAAACGGGUUAAUAUUCCCGUACUUGGUGUUACUGCGAAGGGGGGACGGAGAAGGCUAUGUUGGCCGGGCGACGGUUGUCCCGGUUUAAGCGUGUAGGUGUGUGUUCCAGGUAAAUCCGGUUCACUUUAACACUGAGGCGUGACGACGAGGCACUACGGUGCUGAAGCAACAAAUGCCCUGCUUCCAGGAAAAGCCUCUAAGCAUCAGGUAACACGAAAUCGUACCCCAAACCGACACAGGUGGUCAGGUAGAGAAUACCAAGGCGCUUGAGAGAACUCGGGUGAAGGAACUAGGCAAAAUGGUGCCGUAACUUCGGGAGAAGGCACGCUGACACGUAGGUGAAGUGAUUUACUCAUGGAGCUGAAGUCAGUCGAAGAUACCAGCUGGCUGCAACUGUUUAUUAAAAACACAGCACUGUGCAAACACGAAAGUGGACGUAUACGGUGUGACGCCUGCCCGGUGCCGGAAGGUUAAUUGAUGGGGUCAGCGCAAGCGAAGCUCCUGAUCGAAGCCCCGGUAAACGGCGGCCGUAACUAUAACGGUCCUAAGGUAGCGAAAUUCCUUGUCGGGUAAGUUCCGACCUGCACGAAUGGCGUAAUGAUGGCCAGGCUGUCUCCACCCGAGACUCAGUGAAAUUGAACUCGCUGUGAAGAUGCAGUGUACCCGCGGCAAGACGGAAAGACCCCGUGAACCUUUACUAUAGCUUGACACUGAACAUUGAGCCUUGAUGUGUAGGAUAGGUGGGAGGCUUUGAAGUGUGGACGCCAGUCUGCAUGGAGCCGACCUUGAAAUACCACCCUUUAAUGUUUGAUGUUCUAACGUGGACCCGUAAUCCGGGUUGCGGACAGUGUCUGGUGGGUAGUUUGACUGGGGCGGUCUCCUCCUAAAGAGUAACGGAGGAGCACGAAGGUUGGCUAAUCCUGGUCGGACAUCAGGAGGUUAGUGCAAUGGCAUAAGCCAGCUUGACUGCGAGCGUGACGGCGCGAGCAGGUGCGAAAGCAGGUCAUAGUGAUCCGGUGGUUCUGAAUGGAAGGGCCAUCGCUCAACGGAUAAAAGGUACUCCGGGGAUAACAGGCUGAUACCGCCCAAGAGUUCAUAUCGACGGCGGUGUUUGGCACCUCGAUGUCGGCUCAUCACAUCCUGGGGCUGAAGUAGGUCCCAAGGGUAUGGCUGUUCGCCAUUUAAAGUGGUACGCGAGCUGGGUUUAGAACGUCGUGAGACAGUUCGGUCCCUAUCUGCCGUGGGCGCUGGAGAACUGAGGGGGGCUGCUCCUAGUACGAGAGGACCGGAGUGGACGCAUCACUGGUGUUCGGGUUGUCAUGCCAAUGGCACUGCCCGGUAGCUAAAUGCGGAAGAGAUAAGUGCUGAAAGCAUCUAAGCACGAAACUUGCCCCGAGAUGAGUUCUCCCUGAGACUUAGAGUCUCCUGAAGGAACGUUGAAGACGACGACGUUGAUAGGCCGGGUGUGUAAGCGCAGCGAUGCGUUGAGCUAACCGGUACUAAUGAACCGUGAGGCUUAACCUU